UUAAGCGACUAAGCGUACACGGUGGAUGCCCUGGCAGUCAGAGGCGAUGAAGGACGUGCUAAUCUGCGAUAAGCGUCGGUAAGGUGAUAUGAACCGUUAUAACCGGCGAUUUCCGAAUGGGGAAACCCAGUGUGUUUCGACACACUAUCAUUAACUGAAUCCAUAGGUUAAUGAGGCGAACCGGGGGAACUGAAACAUCUAAGUACCCCGAGGAAAAGAAAUCAACCGAGAUUCCCCCAGUAGCGGCGAGCGAACGGGGAGCAGCCCAGAGCCUGAAUCAGUGUGUGUGUUAGUGGAAGCGUCUGGAAAGGCGCGCGAUACAGGGUGACAGCCCCGUACACAAAAAUGCACAUGCUGUGAGCUCGAUGAGUAGGGCGGGACACGUGGUAUCCUGUCUGAAUAUGGGGGGACCAUCCUCCAAGGCUAAAUACUCCUGACUGACCGAUAGUGAACCAGUACCGUGAGGGAAAGGCGAAAAGAACCCCGGCGAGGGGAGUGAAAAAGAACCUGAAACCGUGUACGUACAAGCAGUGGGAGCACGCUUAGGCGUGUGACUGCGUACCUUUUGUAUAAUGGGUCAGCGACUUAUAUUCUGUAGCAAGGUUAACCGAAUAGGGGAGCCGAAGGGAAACCGAGUCUUAACUGGGCGUUAAGUUGCAGGGUAUAGACCCGAAACCCGGUGAUCUAGCCAUGGGCAGGUUGAAGGUUGGGUAACACUAACUGGAGGACCGAACCGACUAAUGUUGAAAAAUUAGCGGAUGACUUGUGGCUGGGGGUGAAAGGCCAAUCAAACCGGGAGAUAGCUGGUUCUCCCCGAAAGCUAUUUAGGUAGCGCCUCGUGAAUUCAUCUCCGGGGGUAGAGCACUGUUUCGGCAAGGGGGUCAUCCCGACUUACCAACCCGAUGCAAACUGCGAAUACCGGAGAAUGUUAUCACGGGAGACACACGGCGGGUGCUAACGUCCGUCGUGAAGAGGGAAACAACCCAGACCGCCAGCUAAGGUCCCAAAGUCAUGGUUAAGUGGGAAACGAUGUGGGAAGGCCCAGACAGCCAGGAUGUUGGCUUAGAAGCAGCCAUCAUUUAAAGAAAGCGUAAUAGCUCACUGGUCGAGUCGGCCUGCGCGGAAGAUGUAACGGGGCUAAACCAUGCACCGAAGCUGCGGCAGCGACGCUGAUGCGUUGUUGGGUAGGGGAGCGUUCUGUAAGCCUGCGAAGGUGUGCUGUGAGGCAUGCUGGAGGUAUCAGAAGUGCGAAUGCUGACAUAAGUAACGAUAAAGCGGGUGAAAAGCCCGCUCGCCGGAAGACCAAGGGUUCCUGUCCAACGUUAAUCGGGGCAGGGUGAGUCGACCCCUAAGGCGAGGCCGAAAGGCGUAGUCGAUGGGAAACAGGUUAAUAUUCCUGUACUUGGUGUUACUGCGAAGGGGGGACGGAGAAGGCUAUGUUGGCCGGGCGACGGUUGUCCCGGUUUAAGCGUGUAGGCUGGUUUUCCAGGCAAAUCCGGAAAAUCAAGGCUGAGGCGUGAUGACGAGGCACUACGGUGCUGAAGCAACAAAUGCCCUGCUUCCAGGAAAAGCCUCUAAGCAUCAGGUAACAUCAAAUCGUACCCCAAACCGACACAGGUGGUCAGGUAGAGAAUACCAAGGCGCUUGAGAGAACUCGGGUGAAGGAACUAGGCAAAAUGGUGCCGUAACUUCGGGAGAAGGCACGCUGAUAUGUAGGUGAAGUCCCUCGCGGAUGGAGCUGAAAUCAGUCGAAGAUACCAGCUGGCUGCAACUGUUUAUUAAAAACACAGCACUGUGCAAACACGAAAGUGGACGUAUACGGUGUGACGCCUGCCCGGUGCCGGAAGGUUAAUUGAUGGGGUUAGCGCAAGCGAAGCUCUUGAUCGAAGCCCCGGUAAACGGCGGCCGUAACUAUAACGGUCCUAAGGUAGCGAAAUUCCUUGUCGGGUAAGUUCCGACCUGCACGAAUGGCGUAAUGAUGGCCAGGCUGUCUCCACCCGAGACUCAGUGAAAUUGAACUCGCUGUGAAGAUGCAGUGUACCCGCGGCAAGACGGAAAGACCCCGUGAACCUUUACUAUAGCUUGACACUGAACAUUGAGCCUUGAUGUGUAGGAUAGGUGGGAGGCUUAGAAGUGUGGACGCCAGUCUGCAUGGAGCCGACCUUGAAAUACCACCCUUUAAUGUUUGAUGUUCUAACGUUGACCCGUGAUCCGGGUUGCGGACAGUGUCUGGUGGGUAGUUUGACUGGGGCGGUCUCCUCCUAAAGAGUAACGGAGGAGCACGAAGGUUGGCUAAUCCUGGUCGGACAUCAGGAGGUUAGUGCAAUGGCAUAAGCCAGCUUGACUGCGAGCGUGACGGCGCGAGCAGGUGCGAAAGCAGGUCAUAGUGAUCCGGUGGUUCUGAAUGGAAGGGCCAUCGCUCAACGGAUAAAAGGUACUCCGGGGAUAACAGGCUGAUACCGCCCAAGAGUUCAUAUCGACGGCGGUGUUUGGCACCUCGAUGUCGGCUCAUCACAUCCUGGGGCUGAAGUAGGUCCCAAGGGUAUGGCUGUUCGCCAUUUAAAGUGGUACGCGAGCUGGGUUUAGAACGUCGUGAGACAGUUCGGUCCCUAUCUGCCGUGGGCGCUGGAGAACUGAGGGGGGCUGCUCCUAGUACGAGAGGACCGGAGUGGACGCAUCACUGGUGUUCGGGUUGUCAUGCCAAUGGCACUGCCCGGUAGCUAAAUGCGGAAGAGAUAAGUGCUGAAAGCAUCUAAGCACGAAACUUGCCCCGAGAUGAGUUCUCCCUGACUCCUUGAGAGUCCUGAAGGAACGUUGAAGACGACGACGUUGAUAGGCCGGGUGUGUAAGCGCAGCGAUGCGUUGAGCUAACCGGUACUAAUGAACCGUGAGGCUUAACCUU
RNAcentral lists this ribosomal RNA (2902 nucleotides) under Escherichia coli 2-011-08_S3_C2. RNAcentral describes it as "bacterial LSU rRNA". It matches the Rfam family "Bacterial large subunit ribosomal RNA". RNAcentral also lists the same sequence under 1 other name. Lineage: Bacteria; Pseudomonadati; Pseudomonadota; Gammaproteobacteria; Enterobacterales; Enterobacteriaceae. The record is from RNAcentral.